Molecule: ribosomal RNA, 253 nt
Filed under: uncultured Oscillospira sp.
Lineage: Bacteria; Bacillati; Bacillota; Clostridia; Eubacteriales; Oscillospiraceae
Description: partial 16S ribosomal RNA
Rfam family: Bacterial small subunit ribosomal RNA
Source: RNAcentral
UACGUAGGUGGCAAGCGUUAUCCGGAUUUACUGGGUGUAAAGGGCGUGUAGGCGGGAUGGUAAGUCAGAUGUGAAAACUAUGGGCUCAACCCAUAGCCUGCAUUUGAAACUAUCGUUCUUGAGUGUUGGAGAGGCAGGCGGAAUUCCGUGUGUAGCGGUGAAAUGCGUAAAUAUAUGUAAGAACACCGGUGGCGAAGGCGACUCACUGGACUGUAACUGACGCUGAGGCUCGAAAGCGUGGGGAGCAAACAGG